ACCUCCCAGCAGUUUGUCCCGUCAAAGCCCAAACUUGUUUACUUUUAUUUGUUUGUUUAUUUUGCAGGACCUCCUGGGGCUAGACGUGUUGUGUUACCUUCCACCACACCCACCACGCCUGGGGUUGAGGCCUACAGCAUUGGGUCCAGCCAACAAAAAAAGAAGCCACUGAAACCAUGCACUAUGAACUCCUUCUCCUUUUUAAAUUCUUUCUCUUUGUUAUUUGUCACAACAACCAAAAGGAACUUAACUAAUUGCCUGGGAUCUAGUUAAUUCUGCAAAGAACUGCAAGAUGGUGGAAGGUGCAAAGAGAGAAGAGACUCCCACAAGUUGUCCUCCGUUCCCCACAUAAGCUCUGUAGUGUGGUGGUAUGUGCACCCACAUAUAAACAAACAAAAUAAAGAGUAUAUGUAAAAACA
Peromyscus leucopus (white-footed mouse) is the source of this 419-nucleotide long non-coding RNA. RefSeq lists it as uncharacterized. The transcript has 3 exons. The record is from RefSeq and is a predicted model, not a curated record. Lineage: Eukaryota; Metazoa; Chordata; Mammalia; Rodentia; Cricetidae.